GCGAAAGAAUGGUGUAUAAUGUUUUCCUUGAUGAUGAUGAACCUGUGUGCUCCAGGAAUCUCGAGAGAGAGGCGAGAGAGAGGGGUAGAAGUGAGAGACGCUCUACGAGAUGGAGAAAGAGACCGAGAAGCUUUGUUGAGGUAUGUCCAGUCCAAGUCGCUGUUUGCCUUCCACAGUGAUGCCUGUGAUGAAAGAGAAAGGCAGAUGAAGCACAAGAUCUUGUCAGAGACCGACCUGCUGUUGUCCAAGGCGAGAUCUUUGCGCGCACUUGCCUCCCCGAGAAGGAGAUCCUUCUCCAGAAGCUGCAGGCCAGAUGGAAAGAGAGGGGGGAGGGGGGGAGAGAGCUCUCGGAGAAAAAAGAAACGAGAAAGAGAAAAGAGAAGGCAGACAGGAGGACGAGGAAAGGAAAAAAAAAAAUGGAAAGAAAGAAGGGAAUCAAAGCAGCCAGAUGGGGGAGGAGUGGGAUGGGGUAGUGCAAAUGCAGAUAAGUGAUAUGGGCAAAGACGAACAGUUCCAAGUUGAAGGAAAGGGGGAGGAAGCGAUAAACCUGUAAGUACUAUGCCUGUUGUUUGGACAAGUAGAUAUCUAAACGAGGUUGAACGCUGCAGGGGCAGGGAGGAGGGAGUAAACGAGAGGGCGAAGCUGGAGAGCACACGGAUGAUCGUGGCAGUGGCAGUAGCGGAGCAUUGAUGGUGCCCUCCUCGAGGAGAAUCGCCCCUGCAGAGUAACAAAGAGGUACAGCCAUAGCUAUAUCUCUACCGCCUUAAGUUGGAGCUUUGGAUCUCUUCUCUUCGCUCCUCUUCUCUCAGCUUCUACCAUUGCGGCUGUUUGCGAUUACUACAUAGGUAAACGGGGAGCGAUGGAGGGGAUAAGAUGGAAGACGCUGCUCUACUAGGAACUUGGGAGGAAAAAAAGCACACAAAAACAAAACAAAGGUAAGUUUUUGCGAUAUUUUUUUCGUUUUUUUUUUCUUUUCUUUCUUAUGUGUGUUGCUUUGUAGGGUCAAGGCGUGGGGGCCCUCAUGCAAAUGCAUAACGUGCCAUAAGGCUCACGCCAGCCAAGGAAGAAAAAGAAUUUCUAUAUGCUCCGGCUUGGCACGGGGAUCGAACCCGGGAGCUACUGGAGCUUGAUUAGUGGGAGAUUAAUUGCUAGGUGGACGUCGUUAUCGUGGGACAAAGCACGAUUAUUUGAUUUUUUUUGGCACUAUAGAUGUAGAGUGGGGCGGAUUCUUUUAAGAUUAAGUUGGGCCCCUUAGAGCAUACCACUAUGUAGCUUCCCUUUGGGAAAUAAGAGAUUCUUUUAAGCAUU
This 1308-nucleotide long non-coding RNA is filed under the name Selaginella moellendorffii. Its description in RNAcentral is "long non-coding RNA (SMOE_LNC001045)". The record is from RNAcentral. Lineage: Eukaryota; Viridiplantae; Streptophyta; Lycopodiopsida; Selaginellales; Selaginellaceae.